This 508-nucleotide unclassified non-coding RNA is filed under the name Zea mays. RNAcentral's name for it is "misc RNA Zm00001eb238860". Lineage: Eukaryota; Viridiplantae; Streptophyta; Magnoliopsida; Poales; Poaceae. The record is from RNAcentral.
GUCCAAUCUGAUCUUGCAGAGCAGUAUAUAUGGGGAUAAAUACAUCUAUAGGUUCACAGACCAAUCAGAAUGCGAUCAAUUUUUUAAGGAUGCUAAAGAGACCAGGAAUGUGGUGCAUGAGGUGGUGCUAGAACCUGUUUUGUCUCAGCAAGGCGAGACAACGUCAGAGAACCGAUCGACUGGACAAGACGUAACCCAAACGUUAACACAGAUAAGGGGUUUGUGGCACCCUACGACAGAUAAUGAUGUAAUAUCUUUACUAGAUGUUAACCCAGCAGAUUCAUGGAUAAUGACGUUUCAUCAAAAUGGAGAUUUUUUUAUAAGGGAUAUUGACACCCAGGAAACGUUAUAUUUGAUGAGCACCAAAGAUGAUGUUUAUUCUGUCAAAAUCAUUACAAGGAAGCAUUGGGUUUUGGUUGGGACACAUGAUGGUUUCAUCUUGGUGUACGAGUAUGAAACAGGAAUGAAACUGAUAACAAGAUUCAAAGCGGUAUCAAACAUAUUCCAU